Molecule: ribosomal RNA, 253 nt
Filed under: uncultured bacterium
Lineage: Bacteria
Description: partial 16S ribosomal RNA
Rfam family: Bacterial small subunit ribosomal RNA
Source: RNAcentral
UACGUAGGGUGCAAGCGUUGUCCGGAAUCACUGGGCGUAAAGGGCGCGUAGGCGGCGCGGAAAGUCAACGGUGAAAGCUCGGGGCUCAACCCCGAGUCGGCCGUCGAUACUUCUGUGCUUGAGCACUGUAGAGGCAGGUGGAAUUCCGGGUGUAGCGGUGGAAUGCGUAGAGAUCCGGAAGAACACCGGUGGCGAAGGCGGCCUGCUGGGCAGUAGCUGACGCUGAUGCGCGACAGCGUGGGGAGCAAACAGG